Molecule: ribosomal RNA, 252 nt
Filed under: uncultured prokaryote
Description: partial 16S ribosomal RNA
Rfam family: Bacterial small subunit ribosomal RNA
Source: RNAcentral
ACGUAGGGUGCGAGCGUUAAUCGGAAUUACUGGGCGUAAAGCGCGUGCAGGCGGUGCGAUAAGUCGUGCGUGAAAGCUCCCGGGCUUAACCGGGAGAGGACGUGCGAGACUGUCGGACUAGAGGCAGGUAGAGGCAAGUGGAAUUCCGCGUGUAGCAGUGAAAUGCGUAGAUAUGCGGAGGAACACCGAUGGCGAAGGCAGCCUCCUGGGCCAGUACUGACGCUCAUGCACGAAAGCGUGGGGAGCAAACAG